ACAACCACUUGCAGCGGAAAUAAAUUCUUUAUUACAAAAUGAUUACAAGUUACAUCAAGAUUUCAUUAUACAUCAUCGGAGUGAUUAAAAAAUGGUUCAAAAGAAUUACAAUUUGAAGUAUUAUAAAAUAUUUGUAACUUUGAAAAUACAUGCUAGCUUAAGUGACAAUCCUCAAUACAUAAGCUAAGGAUGGGAUAUACUUAUAUAAGAAGGCCGAGCUCACCGGAACUUAACAACAAUCACAAUCAAAGUGACUCGUAACCUGCAGCAACAAUGGGAAUAAAACCUAAGUACGCAAGUACUCAGCAAGACUUACCCAACUAAAGAAAAGACUCUCAAGGGUAUGCUGGUUUUAAAAGGAUUCAAGGUAAGGCUAAUCAAGUUUCAAAGACUCGUUUUGGCAGAAAAGCUUACUAGUAGUAGAUCCUUAUGCCAAACUUUUACUUUAUCGGUUAAGUAGUUUUUUUGAAUCUAGAUUUGCCUAAUCUAGAGCAUUCACUUGUCCUGGUCUAGCUUUCUUUUACCAAACUCUUAUUUUACUUAUUAACUACGAUGAGUGGUCGGGUGGUAGAGUCUCCAUGACCGAGGAGCAACGACGAUUCGAACCAAUUAUACCUAGCUGGGGAUCCCUAACCACACGACAUAUGUAGCACUUAACCCUUGCAUAUGUCAACCGUUCCCACAGAUCCUCCACAACGUGAACCGGCCCGCGCUACCCGGGAGCAUGGUACUCCUCGGUCCAGCCUCUAGCCAAGAGGGUACACGCUACUACCACCAUCUCCCACGCCCAGUGCGCGAUUGUCUUUUCACGUAUGGAAUAGCCAGGUUCAGGCUUACCGGAGAAUGUGGCUAGUUACAAAGUCUCCACCACAACAGGCCUACAUCGAACGGUCCUUAAUCGACACAGACGAGCGAACUUUCCUGCUCAACGUCUGGUCUACAUUACAUAUUAUUUCCUAAAACUUGAUACCUCAGAGAGGUACCCUACUUGAAUGAUGAAAUUAUCGCGGCCACAAUGGCUUCAUCAUCACAAGUUAUUUUAUUUCACAAACUCCCAUAUCCCGUGUUACACAUCAUCUUUUAAAAACAAUCCUAAAUUAAUAAGCAGGGCUAAGCAUCACUAAAUUUUCAUAAAACGGGUAUUAGGGUUGUUUAAUCAAGGAAGGAAAUGCAUCAACUAUUUGAUCACACAACUCCUAUCACCUAAUACAUCAUUCAAGGUGAUAAAACUUUUUAAAACAGAAGGAGGUGGCAAAUGCACCGAAGCUUGCCUGCAAUAACACUAGGUUAGUGUGGUUAGAUGAUGUCCGCUUGGUGAGCCUCAAAAAUCCUGACACUUGAUCAAGUCAUCCAUAGUGAGAGCGAGGUGGCUUGGGAAAGACACCAGGGCUGAGCUGAACCCUGCGGCAGCGCAUGGCGAGGUGGCUUGGGAAAGACACCAGGGCGGCCGCUCGGUCACUAGUGAGAGCGAGGGCGAGGCGAUGAGGGGACCUGGACAUGGAGUCGAGCGCGAGUUGCUGGGGCAAGCGCCAUGGCAGGCCGGAGCUAACGACCAUGGAGUUCAAGUAUGGGGAGGUGUGGCAGGCGAGCACCAGUUAGCUGUGGUCGGUGGUGGAGGCUGGCUCCGACGAGCACGACGACUGAGAGAUGGCACAUCCGCUUGGGGAGGCAGAGAAGCGAUGCAGCCAGGGAGCUUCGACGGUGGCCAAGGAAAUGAGGAUAAGGGAAAAUC
Molecule: long non-coding RNA, 1732 nt
Filed under: Zea mays
Lineage: Eukaryota; Viridiplantae; Streptophyta; Magnoliopsida; Poales; Poaceae
Description: long non-coding RNA (ZMAY_LNC002433)
Source: RNAcentral